Non-coding RNA from Paramisgurnus dabryanus, 1468 nucleotides. NCBI's taxonomy places the organism in Eukaryota, Metazoa, Chordata, Actinopteri, Cypriniformes, Cobitidae. The record is from RefSeq and is a predicted model, not a curated record.
CUAUAUAAGCCCCUCUGUUAACUUUUGUUCAAGCCUGUCUAGAUCUUUUAUCAGUCUAGAAAGAUGUUGGAGAAAAGACAUCAUCCUCUUCUAUAAUCUCCAUCUGUAAUUGGACUAACAACUGGACCAGUCAAUGCAGGCAACUUACUCUCCAUUCGACCUUGCAGGUCACACCAUGGUCUCAAGAGGGAAAAUGAGUGCUCUAUGGAUUGAACAGAAAAAGGUGAAUCAAAGCUCCAACAUCUGUAUGAGGGUCUGGAUGGAUAAAGGAUGCCCACUGGAGCUGGAAAUGAUGGAUCAGGUGGAUCCACACUUGAACCAUCUGUAUGAUGAUCUGCACCCACUGGAUCUGUAAAUGGUGGUGCAGAAAGACACAGCACAUCAUUAUAUCGUUGGCUCCGCCCACUGGUGUUCAGUCUAAAGUAGUAGUUGUUGACAAUCAUAAAGUUGUAAUAACAGUAAGAUUGUGAUGUCAGACAAACAUUGUGCUGUUGCUGGCUGUGGGAAAUUAGUGUCUUUGUAAGGGUCGCAAAUAAUUUGAAAAUAUUUAUGUUUCUAAAUAUGCCCCCCUACCAUGAACUAAACUGGACUGUUGCAGAGACCAAGUGUAGUAGGGUACACUACUAUGCAGGUGACAUUCUUUUGUUUAUUGAAGCUAUGACAAAUAAUUUGUCUGUUUAGUUAAUGUUUUAUACAGUGUAACUGUACCUAAACAUUGUUCCUUGAGGUCCUCUGCUAUUUACAUUUUGUAUGUCUUCCUUAUUUAACACACCUUAUUCAAAUCAUCAGCUCAUUAGUAGAGAUCUUCAUGAACUGAACUGAGGCUGUGUCCAAAUGUUCACACUUGUUGUCUUUGCACUAGACUACUUACAUUACGGGUUUUUUUUUUUGUAUUUGGCCUAAGUAUUCUAGUGGGCGUGAAGAUCCCAAGCGUGCAUGUAGAAUUAUUCAUCCGAUGGGACACACUUAGCAUGGGUAAAAAUUUCAAUCCAGGUAGUGCCAGCAAUUUGCACCAAAACGUAUUUGUGUUUUAUUUACUACUUUUAAUUUAUAUUUAACAUUUUUAAGUUUUUCUGUAAAUAAAAUGAACACUCUGAAAUGAACAUUUGCUUAUAUCAAACUUUUAGAUGCAGAAUUCUUUGCUCCUGUAAAAAAGCUCUUUGUUUUGAGUAUGUAGCUUUAUUAAAGUGUAUUAUUUAUUCAGUAGUCCCUAAAUAAACGACACAAUGUUGCAGAUGUUUCACAAAAUGCAUAACAAUAAUGCAGUGAACACCAUAGAAAUGUUAACAUACAAUUAAAAGUCUCAUGCUUUACAUCCAGAACAUGAUGCACGAUAGGAUGCACAAAGUGAUAUUUGGACGCAGCCUCAGUCUGUCAAAUCAAAGAGACAUACAGAAUGCACAGAGCAGUGGGACUCCAUGAACAGAGUUGAGAACCACUGCUGUAACUCAUUAUGCUUACCUGACUC